ACGUGACAUGUUACAGUCACGUGGCUUUGAGGUCCUCCAUAAUGCUCUAUACUUGGGCUCUUUCCUAUUUCGGCAAUUCCAGCAAAGAGCAGAUAAGUCUAUCAAGUCUCUUCAGCUGUCAUUGCCGGUAGUGUGUAAACUCCAUGCGCGGUAUGGACAGCGUGACGUCAUAGGUGCGCGUACCAUGCUAAAGUCACGUGGCUUUGAAGCAGCCGCGGAUAUACCAGAAGGUACAUCCCGUUCGCUGUGGUCAUUAGAAAUUGAGCCUUUGAAUGUCACGUGACCCUGUGCUUUCAGAAGGUCCUUAAUGGCGCAUGGAGUUUAGGCAGUACAGUGUGUUUUUUGUCGCUUCUUAGAUGUUUCUAGAUACCAUGAAAACUGCAUUACAACAAUGACUUGGGAGUGUAACCAUCUGAAUCUUUUCCAGCGACCCACCUAUGUAAUCUCAUCAAGAGGGUCAGCGUGCAGUCCACCUUCUGGAAGUUUAUCUUAAACCCUUUGAUUGUUGUCCUCCUCGGCACCAGAUUGAUUAUGUCGGAGGCAUUCUGCAGAGAGGAUGACUAGCCACCCUGCAGUGGAAGCCGACCAUGAAUCUGAAGCUCAGAGCAAAGACCACAGUCUGGGCAGUGAUAAACCUGAGGAGCACAUGGAUCACACCUAUUCCGUGGCGUGUGACAUCAAAGAACGUGACAUCCCUUAUUCCGCUCUGAGUCCUGAUACCAUUGUGCUAAGAAGGAAAAUCCGGCGCUUACAUCGACGGGCACAAAGGCAAAAGCAUAAGAUUAAAUGCAUGAAGCAACUGAUUAAACAACUAAAGGCCUCCACUUAAUGGACUGUACGUGUACAGAUGUGUGGUAGUUAGUGAUCAUGGGGACGGCCAUUUUUCUGGACUUCUUGUUCGUAAUCCCAUUGAAGAAUACUGCAGUCGCCCUCAUCACUGCCAGAAAAGUGAGAUAAGAUUGAAAAAUACAGUGCAAGACUGCGGACAGUAGCUAUAUGCUGGUAAAAUAAAUGCUUACUGUUGAAAUGAAGACUGACUUGUAGGUACAUAAACCGUACAUGUCCAGGUGAAGCAGAGGGUAGGGGGCGCCACUGGACAGACUGUACCAAUGUCUGUUAUUAGACAGGAGGAAGCUGGCUCUCUACUGCCACCUAUUGGAUGGUUAUCCUACAAGUCAGUGUCUGGCCCUUUAACCAGGCCUUGAAACAGUGACUUGGAUGUUUGCCAAUUUAUUAUUCAAGGCCUGUUUAAAGGGCCAGACGUUUAAUUCUAGGGCAGGGAUCAGCAACCUCCGGCACUCCAGCUGUUGUGAAACUACGAUUCCCAGCAUGCUCCAUUCAUUUCUAUGAGAGUUCUUAGAAGAACAGAACAAGUAUCCUGCUGGGAGUUGUAGUUCCACAACAGCUGGAGUGCCGGAGGUUGCCUACCCCUGUUCUAGGGUAACGCUACAACGGUUGGCACUAGACAGCCAGCGUCUAUCCUCUCGGAUAGGAGUUCACGUACAUUUCCGUUUCCAGGCAGCAUUUUCUGGUCUAUUGGACUCCCUUCAUUAACUUGGCGGCCUUAACUUACCAAGACAUCCAUUAUGAUCUUGCUGUGGCUUUUUAUAUAGAUAUGAACGCUUGUAGUAAUAGGCCUAAAGCCUGAGGCUGCACUACUGGAUGAUUUGAUUGGCAAUAUGUUAACAUGUAUGCAUCUUUUUUAUAUUUAUAAAUAAAUGUAUUAGACAUGAAGAUAACAUGAA
This is a long non-coding RNA of Bufo gargarizans (Asiatic toad), 1745 nucleotides long. RefSeq lists it as uncharacterized. Lineage: Eukaryota; Metazoa; Chordata; Amphibia; Anura; Bufonidae. The transcript has 2 exons. The record is from RefSeq and is a predicted model, not a curated record.